RNAcentral lists this non-coding RNA (195 nucleotides) under Burkholderiales bacterium. Lineage: Bacteria; Pseudomonadati; Pseudomonadota; Betaproteobacteria; Burkholderiales. The record is from RNAcentral.
UUAAGUGCUGCGAUCGACGGUCUCUCGUCAGAGAGCGAACAGGGAAUGCGGUGCGGAACGCAGGUUCCUAAUCCGCAGCUGCCCCCGCAACUGUAAGCGGAAAGCCCGUACCAAAGAGCCACUGGAGCAUCCGGGAAGGCGGUGACGGGCGGCGAACCGCGAGCCAGGAGACCUGCCGUCGAUGCGGUCGCCGCC